CCUACGGGUGGCAGCAGUGAGGAAUAUUGGUCAAUGGGCUUACGCCUGAACCAGCCAAGUCGCGUGAGGGAAGACUGCCCUAUGGGUUGUAAACCUCUUUUGUCAGGGAGCAAUUGGCGCCACGGGUGGCGUCACUGAGAGUACCCGGAGAAAAAGCAUCGGCAAACUCCGCGCCAGCAGCCGCGGUUAUACGGAGGAUGCGAGGUUUAUCCGGAUUUAUGGGGUUUGAAGGUUGCGUAGGCGGAUCGUUAAGUGAGUGGUCAAAUGGAGGGGCUCAACCCCUUCCUGCCAUUGUAACUGGCAGUCUUGGGUGGAAGAGAAGUAUGCGGAAUGCGUGGUGUAGCGGUGAAAUGCAUAGAUAUCACGCAGAACCCCGAUUGCGAAGGCAGCAUGCCGGCUUCCGACUGACGCUGAAGCACGAAAGCGUGGGGAUCGAACAGGAUUAGAUACCCUAGUAGUC
RNAcentral lists this ribosomal RNA (460 nucleotides) under uncultured bacterium. RNAcentral describes it as "partial 16S ribosomal RNA". It matches the Rfam family "Bacterial small subunit ribosomal RNA", at positions 338 to 795 of the family's 1533-position model. The record is from RNAcentral.